Molecule: long non-coding RNA, 739 nt
Filed under: Trifolium pratense (red clover)
Lineage: Eukaryota; Viridiplantae; Streptophyta; Magnoliopsida; Fabales; Fabaceae
Description: long non-coding RNA (TPRA_LNC009295)
Source: RNAcentral
UUUGGGUUAUCACCGACUAACCAUUACCCUCUAGGGUUUUGUAACUUUUGAUUGUACACAUGUGUGACACACCAACUACACAUGGCUAAUAUAAUCGAGGUGGUACACAAUUUUUCAUCUUGUGAGUCUCGAAUCUAGUGGAAAUAGGCAUUUGAGUGAUCCUCACUACUACAUUGCACCAAGUACCAUGUGCCUCCUGUUGAUGCGGGUGACUGGAAAUCAGAAAUCGGAGGCAUGUUAUCACACUGAAUUAGGAAAUUAUCCGCAAUAUUGUACAACUCCCCAAAAGUACAAAGGUGUCCGCGCUUACAUAACCGAAAAGACUCAACAACACAACACUUGAAAGGCUUUAAGGAAAGUGGAAAGAAUGAAUAUAAAUCAAAAUGUGAAAGUAAUCAUGAGAUUUACUAAAAACUUAGGAGUAACAUAACAUUAAUUUUCAACUUAACUCUUAAACUUCCAUGCAGAUACAUUGAUGAUUAGUACAAACCGAUAACAAAGGCCUACACCAAGGAAUAGGACAAUCUUCGUCUUCUUUGCAACGAUAACCCUUUCCUAGGUGUAAAACAAGAAGAUUAUAGUGUUAAUGAAAGGGAUAAAUAAAUAAUGUAAAUUUUAAAACUUGUGAAGGACGAAGAAAAGGAGUUACCAGCACUUACACCACUCAAAAUAAAAAAUAGAGAAAUCAAUAUGAUCAUAACAUAUACAAACAAGACAUUUGCAGUCAUGUUUUUCUCUU